GGGGAUUUACCUCACUGGCUCAAGGGCUUGCCUGGCAAGCAUGAGGUCCUGAAUUCAAUCCUUAGUACCCCCU
Molecule: transfer RNA, 73 nt
Filed under: Cavia porcellus (domestic guinea pig)
Lineage: Eukaryota; Metazoa; Chordata; Mammalia; Rodentia; Caviidae
Rfam family: tRNA
About the family: Transfer RNA (tRNA) molecules are approximately 80 nucleotides in length.
Source: Rfam by way of RNAcentral